RNAcentral lists this long non-coding RNA (6939 nucleotides) under Pan troglodytes (chimpanzee). Its description in RNAcentral is "long non-coding RNA NONPTRT010321". The record is from RNAcentral. Lineage: Eukaryota; Metazoa; Chordata; Mammalia; Primates; Hominidae.
GUGAUGUGGCCACAAGCCAAGGGCACCGGGAGCCCCCAGAGGCCGGAAGAGGAGAGGAAGGAGCCUCUCUAGGAAUGGCCUGCUGACAGCAGCCUCCAGAAUGGGGAGGGAAUCAGGUCUGUGCUGUCAUACUUAGGAGUGUCUUACGGCAGCCUCAGGAAACAGACGCAGUUUCCCAUUCACAGCCUGGCCUCUGUCCCCAUCUGGGGGUUUCCCCACAGCCUGGCCUCUCCCUGUUGCCCAGGCUGUCCCCAUAGCCAGGUCUCUCCCCAUAUCCUGGCGUGUCCCUGCAGUCUGGCUUCUCCCCACAGCCUGGUGUCUUCCCAUAGCCUGGAGCCUUCUCACAGCCUGGAGUCUCCCCUGCAUCCUGGGGUCUCCCUGCAGUCUGGCUUCUCCCCAUAUCCUGGGGUCUCCCUGCAGCCUGGGGCCUUCUCAUAUGCUGGGGUCUUCCCGCAUCCUGGGGUCUCCCAUAUCCUGGGGUCUCCCUGCAGCCUGGGGCCUUCUCACAGCCUGGGGUCUCCCCACAUCCUGGGAUCUCCCCGUAUCCUGGGGUCUCCCCAUAUCCUGGGGUCUCCCUGCAUCCUGGGGUCUCCCUGCAGUCUACCCAUGGUGCCAGGGCAGCUCUUCCUCCUGACGUGUGGGGGGCCCUGGGGUGCAGAGAAUAAACUCCACCCAUCGGAUGUGAAUUCCAGCAGCCCUGAGGUUGGGUGAGUUUCCUGGAGCAGUGGGCGAGGGGUCAGGGAUGCAGUUUGCUGACUGUCCAGCUCAGCACGCCCAGGGAGCUGGCAGGGUUCCCUGACCCCGGGCAGCAGGUGGAGGCUGAGACAAAGGCCAAGCCAGCUGGAGGCUUUAGGGAGACGCACUGGGUCCACUCCACAGGCAGCAGGACCCCAGGCGCACUGUGGGCAUUUGAGGAGUGGGUGUCAGGGUGACCAGAAGGAGCCAGGGUGGAGGUCGCAGGGUGUCAUCUUGGUGGGCAGAGCCUCGGGGCCCUGGGGUGGAGGGAGUGAGGCUGGAGAGCCUGGCUGGCUGUGCCGGACGCCUAACACGGUCCCGGAGAUGGCACUUCUCGCACGGACGAGGGUGGGCGACGCGGGAACAGACUGCCCGUAAUCGGGUUCCAGGUCCAAUAAAGGUAAACCUCGAGGCGGAAAGGACCUAGACGCAGGUGAACACGGUCCUCCGUGUGUGAGUGCAUGUGUGUGUUGUAUGUGUAAGCGUGUGGCCAUGUGUGUGGUGCUGGAGCCCAAAGCCUGUCCACGGCAGCCCAUUGGUGGGUCCGGCCCUGCCUGUGGAUUCAGCUCUCCACUGCAAAGCAAUAUGCAGUGUGUGAAACGGCAACACAGAUCGUGGCACCACCAUGAGCCUCACUGUUAGAUUUGGAUUGGAAUCCCUCCCUCUCUCCCGCUUUAAACUGUGGGUCCUUGGGAAAGUUACCUGACAUUUCUGAUUUUCACAUUCUUACCUGUAAACCCUCCCAGAGUUGAAAUGAGCCGUGUGGGAAUGGGGGUGGGGAUGGGGAGGCGCGCAGUCACCCUCGCCUUCCUUUUCUUUCUCUCGGUAAUUGUGUUCUUCUAUGUCAAAGGAAAAGAAUAAAACUGGAAAAUUAUUUGGGGGAAAAAGAAAAAGACACACAUGCAAGUGCCACAGGAACCUGCUGGGGGAGAGAUGCUCUGUGGCCUUCGGUAAGUCAGCCCUCAGCCUAGCAGUUGUAGGACCCUCCGUGGUUCUGGAUCCGCAUCAACUAGAAUUCUAUGUUCCAGGGAAAACUGCUUUCAAUGCUGACUUAUACUUAACACUGUAAGGCCAUGGAGCAGAGUAAACAUCCCGUCCCAUCAUGCCCCACGCCCUCCGGAACACCCCGUCCCAUCAUGCCCCACGCCCUCUGGAACACCCUGUCCCAUCAUGCCCCACACCCACUGAAACUUCCCGUCCCAUCAUGCCCCACGUCCUCUGAAACAUCCCAUCCCAUGCCCCACGCCCUCCAGAGAGUGAGGGCUGCAGGGCCAGCAUCUGCCUAGCCCGUGGCAACCUCAGCCCUCAGAGAGCAGCCCUGGUUGCCAGGAACCCAGAGGGCAGAACCCACACUGACCACUAACCAUUGGCAAAGCAGCGGCUCCUCUGCAGGGGCUUUUACGUGUUGGUUUCUUUGGCACCAUCCAACAGAAACAGAAUGGGAGCCACAAAUGGGCGCCACAUACGUAACUUAAAGUUUUCUAGUAGCCACGUUAAAAAUGUUCAAAGGUCAUCUUAAUUUUAAUAAUAUGUUUUAUUUAAUCUACUAGAUCCAAAAUUACUAUCAUUUUAACAGGUACUCAAAAUUAUUAAUGAGAUCUUUUACAUUCUUUUAGAAGUGUUUCAUAACGUCUCUGCAGCAGCCACAUUCCCCAUGCUCAGCAGCGGCUCACAGCCUGGAUGGCAGUGCGGUGUAGACAUUUGAGCUGUGGGCAGGACUCUUCCCGGUCCUCAUGGCUGAGCACACAGUGCCGGGCCAGGUGGUGCACACUGGGGGACCAUGGGCCGGGCUGGUCCUGGCUCUGCACUGUCCCUGUGACCCUCGGGAUGUUCCUCAGCAUCUUUUGGCGAUGGUUCCUUUCCUGUAGGAUGCGAGGCCGACAGCAUCUGCUGCUAGGAGUUGUGAGGACACGUGAGUUCAUUUCAGUUGGGUGCAGCGCUGGCCUAGUAAUCUCACUGACCCUUGGUCGCUCAGCCAGUGACUGUGCCCACCUGCCACCAUCAUAAGAUGGCGGACUUGGGGGUCAGGAGAGCCCUUCCAGGACUGCAGAAGCUGGUCCUUGGGGGUCUCGCAGCAGAUCCUGGGGGCGUUCCCAGUAUGGGUGCAAUGUACAUGGGGGGCUCAGGACGGGAGGCCCAUGCCAGCCCCUGGGCCUCCAGAGCUGGCAGAAGGCACAGCCCUGCAUGGCCAAGGGCGCUGGGCUGCGUGGAGAAUGUGCGGGUUCUGUUGUUUUGCCAGCUUUAGCAGUUUACCCAACCUAACAAAAAAAAAGGAUAUGCAACUGGGACAGCAUGUGGCCCACGAAGCCUCAAAUAUUGCCUCUGGCCCUUCACAGAACACGUGUUCUAGAAAGGAAAUCCUAUGCUCGUGGGCUAGGGGCUUGCUGGGUGGGGAGAGGGGUUCAAAACGUGGUUUGUCACUUCCUAUGAGGGUGAUCCGACAGGACUUCGUGGAGACGGUGGCGUUUAAGUGGCCUAAGAAGAACUGGAAGGAUUCAGAGGAGCGGAGGGACGUGGCCUGGUGGGCAGAAGUCAUGGCUGGGUGUCGCAGGCUCUGUGCAGCUCUGACAGCUGCAAUGCAGGCAGGCACCGCCCCCCCCCCCCCCAAUGCUUUACGGCCAUCGGGUCUGCAAGUUAUAAACUUGGUUACCCCCAGAACGUUGUUUAAACAGUACUGUGUUCUAGAACAUGCUGAGAUAGCAUUUAUGCAACUGAUGCCAAGGUGUGGAACAGGUUAGUCUGGCUUUUUCCUCAACAAUCCAGGAGGAGGACAGGGAGAAGGCAGCAUUGUUCCUGAGCGGGUGAGGCCAAUUUCAUCCUGAGUGAUAGUGACAGUAAUAACUGAUAAGAAAUGAAAUCACAGCUUUUCACACGCAGAGCCUGACUAAUGGCUGACCCUUCCUCCAUCUCUGGGUGCUCAUGCUGGAGAGCGAUGGGCCCUCCCUCCACUGCCGGGGGGGGACGUGCUGGAGAGUGACAGGCCCUACUUCCAAUCCUCGGUGUUUCUGCUGGAGAGCAAGGGGCCCUCCCUCCUCUCCUUGGUGCACGUGCUGGAGAGUGACGGGCCGGCAGUUCACGCCUCGUGCUCCUGCUGGAGAGCGAUGGGCCCUCCCUCCAAUCCUUGGUGCACAUGCUGGAGAGUGACAGGCCCGCAGUCCACUCCUGGUGCUCCUUCUGGAGUGACAGGCUCUCUCUCCACUCCGUGGUGCACGUGCUGGAGAGUGACGGGCCCGCAGUUCACUCCUGGUGCUCCUGCUGGAGUGACAGGCUCUCUCUCCACUCCGUGGUGCACGUGCUGGAGAGUGACGGGCCGGCAGUCCACUCCUCGUGCUCCUGCUGGAGAGCGACAGGCCCUCCCUCCAAUCCUUGGUGCUUCUGCUGGAGAGCGACAGGCUCUCCCUCCACUCCUCGGUGUGCGUGCUGGAGAGUGACAGGCCCUCCCUCCACUCCUCAUGCUCCUGCUGGAGAGCCGCAGGCCCUCCCUCCACUCGUGCUCCUGCUGGAGAGCGACAGGCCCUCCCUCCAGUCCUGGUGCUCCUGCAGGAGAGCAACAGGCCCUCUCUCCAGUCCUCGUGCUCCUGCAGGAGAGCGACAGGCCCUCCCUCCACUCCUCGUGCUCCUGCUGGAGAGCGACAGGCCCUCCCUCCAGUCCUCGUGCUCCUGCAGGAGAGCCGCAGGCCCUCCCUCCACUCGUGCUCCUGCUGGAGAGCGACAGGCCCUCCCUCCAGUCCUGGUGCUCCUGCUGGAGAGCGACAGGCCCUCCCUCCAGUCCUCGUGCUCCUGCUGGAGAGCGGCAGGCCCUCCCUCCGGUCUUCGGUGCGCGUGCUGGAGAGCGGCAGGAGCUCGGCCUUCUUAGGGUGUUUGGGACCCCAUCCAGCGUGGUUUUGCUUUAGUUCCCCGCCCAGGGAGAGGAGCUCGGCAAGCAGCACCGGGUUUAUUCUUGCUCAUUUAUUCAAAAGAAAGGUACUGAGUUUGAAAAUGCACCAAGCACUGGAGAGAAGAGAAAGGUGAGAGGACCUCGGGGCCUGCCUGUAAGAGGCUCAGGAUGUGGCUGGGGAUGAGGCCCAGUGGCACCUUCAACGCAGGAGAUGAGGGGGUCUGGAUCCCACCGUCAGAGCACGCACGCAACCUGUCCACUCCCUCAGGACUGCAGAAAAGGUCCAUUCUUGUAUUUCUUUUUAAGUUGAAUUAAAUCCAUCUCUAGCCCCUGCCUCUGAACUGAUGGAGUGUGGCUGUUAUUGGGCCGCCCUCACCCGCAAGGGGUGGAACCAGAGCUUGGGGCUGAGGCGCUCCUGGAGUGUUUAGCGCCUCUGCUGUCAGGACAUCCUGUGGCCACUGGCACGCUGUCUUCCCACACAGAGCCCCCGACCAGCAGCGGAGCCACCCACUCUCCACAGCCAGGGUUGGGAGCCCUGGGGCCCGAGUCCCCGGUCCCACGUGCCACACAAGGCAGGACAUUCUGGGUGCUGUCGCAUCCCCGGAAUCAGGGCCUGGACCCUGGUCAGAGCAGGACCUGCAGGUGACCCCGGGUGGGGCAGACUGUCUUCUGUCCUUGGUGGCAAAGCCGGUGUUCUCGGCGUCAUGUCUGCACACGUGUGCCUGAAGCCACGGGAACGCAGGGGCUACCUCCGGGCCUGGGCCUGGGCUGUGGAGCAGGAUCGGGGAGGACACACAGGUGGGCGUCUCAAGAACUGUGGUGUACACAGCUGAGCCCCUGCAGCUCUGCUUUGCCGGGCCUCACCCUCGGUGCUGGGUGCAAGACGUGACAAGAUGGCAUGGGAAGCUUCCCGGGGAACGCUGGAACUGGGUGUUUGAAGGAGGACCUCAUGGCGGCAGCUCCAGCCCAAGUACUGCAACUGUGGGGCCGUGCCAGGAGCAGGUGCUGCGGAGCCUGUGUGGGUCCAGGACAAGAGGAGCACCAGAAGCCCCUGGAGGGCCGUGCAGACGACACUGUCGGGCCGGCCCAGCCCAGGCCCCAGCAGUUAUGACUCCUCUGUGAUCAGAGGAUGUGGCUGAGGAUGUGCAUUUCCGUCAAGUUCCCAGGAGAACCUGGUGCUGCUGCUUCGGGGACCCCACUUUGAGGACCACUGAUCUAACACUGCCCCUCGUGGCAAACGCGGAAUGACUCAAGAUUCAGCUGGAUGGAUCAUUCAGGGAGCAAAUCCACCUUUGCCGCCUGGCACACCCUGGCCAUUCGGUAACGAUGCCAUCAGGGUUACUGGCUUCUUCAUUCUCCACUGUGCAUUCCAGGGUGGGCAUUUCCACAGUUGUGAGCCCAUCAUCAACUCAGCGAGUUCCCAUUUUCCAGUUAGAAAAUAAGCUUUCUGAUGGUUAGCCAUUCACUUCACUUGGCUCUAGAAAAGAUUUCAGGAAUGUAUAAUUUAUUUUUAACAUAAAGAAAAGCUAAGUGUAAACUAGAUAAGCUACAACAAUUGUCCCAGACAUUAUAGACACUCACAGCACCGUUUUCCUCUUCUAGCAAAACAAAACAAAAAAUUCUGCAAUCAUACAGGCAGUAGGAAAAAAAAUUAGCUGGACACCAUGGCUCACACCUGUAACCCCAGCACUUUGGGAGGCUGAGGUGGGAGGAUCACUUGAGGCCAGGAGUUAGGGACUGGCCUGGGCAACAUAGUGAGAUCCCAUCUUUAUAAAAAUAAUAAAAAUCUGGGCGUGGUGGAGCACACUUGUGGUCCUAGCUACUCAGGAGGCUGAGAGUGGGGAAUCGUUUGAUCCCAGGAGGUUGAGGCUGGAGUGAACCAUGUUUGCACCACUGCACUUCAGCCUGGAUGGAUGACAGAAUAAGAUCCUGUCUCAAAAAAAAAAAAAAAAAAAAACAGGAAGAAAUAAUCCGGGUAAGAAACGAGGCAAUGAUACUGUCACCUGGCCUGGCCUCAUGCCAGCAGCAUGGGGGUGGGGCUUGGGAGGGAGGGUGGAUUUAGGCUUACCAGCUUACUAGGGAACCUUGAUCUCUGUUUCUAAUUUGCCGGGCUCAUGUCUAGCUGGAGCCUGGGCACUGCUGUCUGCUUUCCUGCACAACUGGCUGGGGACAGCUCUGAGCCCUGGGCCUGUAAAGGACAGGCUCCAUAAUCCUCUGGCAAAUCCUGCAAGAUGUCUGCAGUGAGGUGCCAGGUUGGAGCAGAGGAAGAGCCUUACACUUCAUCCCUGAAGUCACAUUUGAAGGAAGACCCUCAAGGUGGAGGGCUU